CCAAGGAGCCCCGGACCACGAACGUGCGGGUGUGGGGCUACGCUGAGGGCGAGAGGCGCGCACGGGUGCGGAGCAGGGCGGCGGGGCUGGAGCACGAGUCCUGUGAGCCGCGGCUGAGGGAGCUGCGGGUGUUAGCCUGAGGCAGAGCAGGCUCAGGAGAGACCCGACUGCUUUCUACAACUGCCUGAAAGGAGGGUGCGGCCAGGUGGGGAUCGGCCUCUCCUCGCAGGGAUCACCCUGCCACUUCCCAUUAGCAUUAGCAGCACUCUGAAUUGCAAAAUCUUCAGAUGAACGUGCCGAGUCCUGUCAUUUCCCCCACAGGCUGUCUGGCGAUGAUAAUCCUCUAAAGGAUAAUUUCAUCCAAGUGGCGAUGUCCGAGUCAAAUGCCGGCAACAGGCAGGGAAACCCAAACCUGUUGAGGCAGACAUCUGCCCAGAUGGGAGGAAUCGGAGCGACGGCCUUUAAGAGGGCGAGGCGGGGGACAUACUUUGUGCCAGCAGAAUAAGUCCAAGGGCUGCACCCGUGAUGGGAGAGCAAGACCAUGAUCAUGAUGGCUGGAAGUUUGCGGGCUGCGAUGCCGAUGCUGGCCUGAGCAGGCCCGGGGCUGCGCUCUUUGGAGGGGUGCCUUGUCACAUUAGCCGGGCGGCCACUGUGUUUGAUGCUCAACCUGGACAGACAGGCCUGCCAGGCAGAAACUGCUCAGGCAGAUGAUGCUGGGGAGGACAAAAAUUAUCCACUGCAAGACUGAGAAGACAGAUGACACCCAGCAGGAACAGCAAGCCAAAUCUGCAGAAUCCACAAUGCAGCUGGCUAGCCCGGGGCUACCUGCCUCUUUGAAGAGGAAUAGACAUCACCUACGAGCUGUCAAAUUAGAUCACCAGCCUGAAAAUGCUGAGAGAGAUUUAGUUCUUCCAACAGAGAAGGGAAAGUUUAAUGGAUGAAAAUUUUCCUAAAGGGGCCAAGGUAGCGUGGGAGGGGAAAAGGGAAAUCCUUCAGAUGCAGCAACAAUGAAAAAUUAAUCGCCUCCCGCCUGCCUGCAGAGUGAGAGAUGGGAUGCGCGGUGUUCUGUGGCAGCCGAGCUGGCUGUAGUCACUACCAGCGUGGAAAAUAAAGGCCACGCCUGCAGGAACAUGCACAGAGCAGCAACAAGUAAUGCUUGCUACAAAAUCGAUGCCCCUUUCCAAAUCUGUGAUAUCUUUGUGUCACCCUAGGGCUGGGCUCUGAGGUAGGAUACAUCUCAUGUUCAAGACAUGCAGCAGUGGAAUACAAAGGCCCAGUCUGAAUAUGAAGACUCAGCAAAGCAGGAGGUGCAUGAUGGCAUUUCCCCUUUAAUUUCCUUUGCAAUAAAAUUCCAGCACAAAGAAAAUGUGUGCAAUCGAGGUCAAUUUUGAUAAAUAAAUAGAAAAAAAAGUUAGGAUUACCAAGUGAGUAAGCAUGUGCUCAGGUGUAUGGUGAAUAUGAAACGUGGCAUUUCCAUCAGGGACAGCAGCAGCAUGAUCCAAUUAUAGAUGCAAAGAAGAAAUACUGCUCUUGGGGGGAAAAAUAUUAAAUGUAGCAAUCCAUUAAGCAGCUGCAUCAUUGCAAUUACACUUUGAAGUUAAAGACUGUGAAACACACAGUCUUUAAAGAUUAAAAGAGGUGAUAAGAUUAAAAACCAAAAGGGGAAAAAAAUCAAAUAGGCCUACAGAGCUGUCUUUCUAGAAAGAAAAAAGGUAGAAAAAAUUUUUAUACAAGGUUCUGUAUACACAUACAAUUGUAAAAUCAGUUUAUGGCCAUACCAAGCAAAUCUACUUGAAAAAUCUAUUCCCAGCUUCUGCGUUCAACACAGUGACAAACCGUAAAUCACCUUCAGAUAUGCAAGCAGAAGAUGUUAGCACAUCAGAAAGAAUAUGAACCAUUCUAAAUAGAAGAGCUUACACUGGAUUUGUUAAUGAUUUUAUAGUUCUAUCACUUUAUUUUCCUCUCUCUCAGCUAAUUGAUUUUAAGCACUUUGUCCUCUUUCAAAUCAACAGCUGACUUUUAUUCAUCUAUUAUUUUUUUAACCAAGCAAAAAAUAGAUACCCAAGUUCCACUGUUCUUCUAUCUGUAAUGCUACUUGGUCUAUUUCACAGACAAAACCACUUCUAAGUCACAUUUUCAUAUAAAAUAGUUAACAUAAACGAAUGUCUUAUUUGAAUUGCAAAGUACAUCUACAUUAAACCUUAGUUACGAGUCUCAGCUCCCUGCAAAUAACCCAGGAUCCACACCCACACUGAAGGGUCCAGAAUAACCUUCCAUCAGCUAUAAUUGAAAUUAAUGUAUGUAUAUGUGUGUGAGAGAGAAACAAAGUUAAAUUGUAUAAUUAUUUUAUUUUUGACUUUUUAUCAAGAUACUCCAAAGAUGUAACGCCUAUUGGAAAGUCUAAGGUGCACCUCACAAAAAAUACGCUCCCCAUUUCUAGGCCUAUGUGCUUCCAAAGAUUCGGCCAGCAGCAUGAAAUUCCUAAGAGAAGGUCUACUUCAGUUUACAAAUAUUUUGAGGAGGAUUAGUAGGCCAUAGAGAAGAAUACAAGAUGAAAAGAUUAAAAAUAUAUGAGAAUAUAAUUUCUUACAGGCAAACAGCUAAGGAGUUUGCUAGGAGGCUUCAUUGGCAAAACUUACACUUUCUGCACAAAGAAUCUUGGGAAAUUCAAUAGGUACAAACCUAUCGACAGCAAAUACUUACUGUGAAUGGGGUGACGAAAGGUAGCAAAACUUGCUGGAUUGGACUGUUUCAAAUGUGAACCAGAAGUGAUACCUUCUAACUCAUUUUCUGUGUGAAAUACUGGGAUGCCAACCUGGAAGGUAAAUCGUUGAUGACCAGGAACACAACAGAAAGCAUGUUACUCAUUUAAGCUAUCAUAAAUAAUUUAUUUAGUUUUGCUGCUGAAAAGCCUUCACUUGGGUUCCAUCUGAAUGGUCAGAUUUUCCUAGUCCCCAGGUCUAAACUGGAACUAUUUUUUUUUUUUUUUUCAGUGUAACCUUUCCAAAUUUCUCAUUCCUGGUCACUCUUUCCUAAUCCCAUAUUAAACCUGGAUUUUUCUAUAUAUCACUGUUGCCCAGUUACAAGUCUCAGAGCAAGAAACACCCCAAGACUUGAGAAGUCAAACUGAACUCUCACUUAAAAGUGAAGUUACACACACAAGGACAACUAAAAAUCAAUCAGCACAUUUCUAACAUACCUUAUGCAACACUUGAACACCUGGUUCAACCUGGUUGGUCUAUAAGCAUCUUGGCAUCAAGGGAGAAAAAGUGCUAAGUGUAGGGUUUCACUGAACACUUACAAUUAUCGUAUUUAUUUCACUGUUGAAUUCUUCUGUUGCUGAAAGGUUGUCAUGCAGCACUAUCUCACCAUAUGGCAACACACUCAAGUCCCAGGGGCACAUACUUAUAAGACCAUAACAUGUCAGGCCCCUUGAAUAAAUUAGAACAAUUAUGCAAAAUAAUAAUACUGCAAUGAUGAGAUACAUUAACAAAUGAAAGUGUUGCUGUUCAUGAAAUGCUGUGAAAAUAAAUUCCACACAUCACUGUGGUCAUCAUCAUCAUCAAAAUGCAAAGUAACAAAAGUAAAACAUUACAGUGCCCUUCAGCAACUGGAGUUUUAAGAAUGGAGAAAAGGGUUGCAAGGGAGCAAAGUCUCUUUUACUGAUGUUUAGUGAAAGUGUAAUAAAGUAUUACAGAAAGAGGAAGUAGCUUUAAAAGCAGCUGAACAUUUACCCAAUGCAAACCCUUUACAUAAACCAUCAAUGUUAAUUUGAGAGCUCCCACUACACACCUCAUCUUUCAAAAUUAUGAAGCAUAGUUGUAAAAAAUGUACCUCAGUCUCAGACCAACUCAGAAUUGUGUGAUUUUUCAGAAGUUUUCUUACAGAUUUAUUUGUCCUUGAUCAAAAGGCAUUAGAGAAAAAGGGUAGAGGCAAGAAAAAAUCAAUACCAUCUGGUUUUCCCAGUCAUCUCUCUAAGGGCAAAGUCUCAAUUCAUCCUUCUUUGCUUUUAACCCUCUAUCCCCCUAAGUUUCCCUAGCAGGGGAAAAAAAAUUGAAAUAUGCUCAAGUUACUAUAUGAUAAUGUCCAAAUGCCUUUUAGAUAGUAGAGAGUUAAAUAUUACUAUUCCACUUCUAAACAUUUCAUCUUUCUACUAGGUGAACUUUUUUCUUUAACAUUUCAGCAGCAAGUAACAUUUUUGUUCUACACCAGAGAAAAUAAAACUGGCACAAGAGGCUAGGGGAUACUGCAGCAGUAGCAUGUUGCCAACCUGAGAAAUCCCAAUACUUGCAAACAGCAGCUGUUUGGGAUUAAAAAAAUAUGACAUUUUGUAGUAUCAUCUCUACAACAACCUGUCUGAAAAGAUAACAGUAUUGUUCCCAGCAACAUUUAGCUCUGGCUCAAUUUCAGUGUUCUUAGCUGUAAUGUAAACUGUUUUCAUGGAUGAAGGGUUGCACAUUUACUUUAAAGAAUUUAAAUCAUUCUCACUUUCAAAAGCACAGACAAAAGUAAGAAAUCCGUAAGAUGAACGUGAGACUUCCCCUAAACCUGACCAAAUGCACUGAUGAUUCACACCCAUGCUCCCCGCUUCUGAAACAGAAAAAGGAUUCAUUGUAGCAGAAUUUAGUAGAAGUGCAGGUAGGUCUUUUUCUAAUCUUACCAUCCCUUGCUCCCACACAAGGGGAAAAAGCACACUAAUUGAAUACAUAGUAUUAGGUAAAAAAUGUUUGAAUAAACUGGAUAUUAAGAAUACAAGUACUGACAGUAAACACAUGAAGCUCUCAGGCAGUGGAAUAUGAAAACCUUUGAGAAUAAAGUUUAUAAUGUACAUUUGUACUAAAGCCCACUCCACAACUCUAGCAGAUCUCAAGACUUCAGAGAGAUCUUUGUAGUACCUAAGGUGAGCUUCUAAAUAGCAAGAAACAAGAGUAGCUAGAAGUGGAGAAUUAAGUGCCUAGGAAACGGUGAGAAAUUUCUGAAAUUUGUGCCCUAAACGUAACUUGGUAUGCCUGUAAACCUUUAGUAAAAUAAUUAAAAAUAAAAUUGUGUAUCUACAGAAAACACCUAUUAGACUCUGGAAUUGUCCAAGUUAUGCUUACCCUUGCAAUUUUCUUCUGUCCAUUUAUGUGUCAGUAUUUUAAUGACCUCAUCAUCUACUUCUUUUAUUUAUUUUUUUAAAAGGACUUCUAACAUUCGAAAUGCUUAAACAUCUAUCCAAGAUAGCUUUUUUAUAUUUACUGGGUGAGAGGCUGCUAAGUAGCACAUUAAACAAAAUAAUGUACAAGUGAAAUUGUCCACUAAGCACUGCUGAAGAAACCAACAGUUUAUUUAUCAAUUAAAAUAUCAAAGUAUUUCUAUAUUUCUUUCACGUCUUAAAAGAAAUGUUACCUGAAUUGAGCAGAGGGUAAUUAACCAAUUCAAAUUAGCACUUUUAUACCUGUACAAAUAAAAAUCAGAGAACCACAUUCUACUGUAAAAUGACUCAUCCGAAUGGGUGACAACAGUGUAGUUGGUUUUAAAGCCCACUUUAAACACUGCUAAUGAACUUGAUAGAGCAGCGAAUUAUCUCAAGUUGAGGGUUUUGGUUGGUUUUGUUGCGGGGGUGGAAAAGGGCAUUUGCACUUAUGUAAAAAAUAUGAAGCAAGGCACACCAAAAUCCUUAGGAACACUAACUUUGCUACCCAAUUUGAAAGGAAAUGCUUCUAGACACAAAAACAGUACACCACAAAACAAAGCAGGAAGUGAACUAACCUUUUAAAAUCUUUUUUCACUGAAGAAAAACUAGGAAAUCUCACAGCCAAAUUAAGACUACAGUUUUAAAAUAAUUUAUUCGGUCACAUAAAUACUUUGUAACAUUUGCAUGUUCCCUUUUUCACAUCCUUGGCACACAAUAUAGCUCUUAACUUGUACAAAACUAGUGUAAACAUCCAUGGAAAAAGAAAGGAAAGCUGGCUG
Molecule: long non-coding RNA, 5955 nt
Organism: Catharus ustulatus (Swainson's thrush)
Lineage: Eukaryota; Metazoa; Chordata; Aves; Passeriformes; Turdidae
Exons: 2
Source: RefSeq, a predicted model, not a curated record